Molecule: ribosomal RNA, 498 nt
Filed under: uncultured bacterium
Lineage: Bacteria
Description: partial 16S ribosomal RNA
Rfam family: Bacterial small subunit ribosomal RNA
Source: RNAcentral
AUUGAACGCUGGCGGCAUGCCUUACACAUGCAAGUCGAACGGUAACAGGUCUUCGGAUGCUGACGAGUGGCGAACGGGUGAGUAAUACAUCGGAACGUGCCUAGUAGUGGGGGAUAACUACUCGAAAGAGUAGCUAAUACCGCAUGAGAUCUACGGAUGAAAGCAGGGGAUCGCAAGACCUUGUGCUACUGGAGCGGCCCAUGGCAGAUUAGGUAGUUGGUGGGAUAAAAGCUUACCAAGCCGACGAUCUGUAGCUGGUCUGAGAGGACGAUCAGCCACACUGGGACUGAGACACGGCCCAGACUCCUACGGGAGGCAGCAGUGGGGAAUUUUGGACAAUGGGCGCAAGCCUGAUCCAGCAAUGCCGCGUGCAGGAUGAAGGCCUUCGGGUUGUAAACUGCUUUUGUACGGAACGAAAAGCCCCGGGUUAAUACCCUGGGGUCAUGACGGUACCGUAAGAAUAAGCACCGGCUAACUACGUGCCAGCCGCCGCCGUAA